Molecule: ribosomal RNA, 895 nt
Filed under: Gorgonocephalus chilensis
Lineage: Eukaryota; Metazoa; Echinodermata; Ophiuroidea; Euryalida; Gorgonocephalidae
Description: 12S ribosomal RNA
Source: RNAcentral
AAAGAACUUGGUUCUAAUUUUUGUUUUAAAUAAAGAAAAGAUUAUAUAUGCAAGCUUUUUAGCGAUACGGUGAGGAAGUAUAAUUAUUAAAUAAAUUUUUUAAAAAAAAAUUUUUUUUUAUUGGUAUUUAUUUUAAUUAUUUUUUUGUUAAAUAUAAUAAUUUUUAAGAAGAUUCACAUCUGCAGUAAUAAAUACUUAAACUAUAAUUGAAGGAUUGAUUAGGCUAGAUUUUUUUUUUGGGAGGGCGAAGAUAUCGUGCCAGCAGCCGCGGUUAUACGAACAUUCUCAAUUUAAUUCAUUGUAGCUUAAUGCAAUAAAGGUUAAUUUUAACUAAAAUGAAUAAGAAGAGAAGCUUAGGAGUGAAAACCUAUUUUUCUUUGAUAAAUUUUUAAUAAAAAUCGAGAUUGUUAAAUUAAAGGAGUAGACCUGGAUUAGAUACCCAGUUAUUCUUUGUUAAAACUAUAAAAUGCUGGUGGAGUACUGAUUUUUUUUUAAAAUACAAAGAACUUGGCGGUUGUCUAUUUCUGAUUAGGGGAGCUUGCUUGAAGAAAAUGAUAAUCCACGUUAUACCUUUCCUACUCUUGUAAAAUUCAGUUUUUAUAUCAUCGUCAUUAAGUUUUCAUUGUAAGCUAGAAAACUUUAAAAACUAAUAUAAAAGUUAGAUGUCAGAUCGAGAUGGAGCUAAUGGGUAGGAGAUAGUGAGCUACAAUAAUUAAUAAUUUAAUAUUGGAAUUAGAAAUAAAAUUUUUUUUAAUGAAAGAGGACUUAAUAGUAAUAAAAUAAAAGAAAAAUUUUAUGAAGUUAGCUCUAGAUUUCGUACACAUCGCCCGUCACCUGCGGGAUUAAACCUGGAGUAAGUCGUAACAUAGUAGGCGUACCGGAAGGUGUAGCCUAG